RNAcentral lists this transfer RNA (66 nucleotides) under Rieppeleon brevicaudatus (bearded pygmy chameleon). Its description in RNAcentral is "tRNA-Met". The record is from RNAcentral. Lineage: Eukaryota; Metazoa; Chordata; Lepidosauria; Squamata; Chamaeleonidae.
ACUAGGAUCUGCUACACAAGCAGUUGGGCCCAUACCCCAAAAACGAUUACAACACAUCUCCUAGUA